This 459-nucleotide ribosomal RNA is filed under the name uncultured bacterium. RNAcentral describes it as "partial 16S ribosomal RNA". It matches the Rfam family "Bacterial small subunit ribosomal RNA", at positions 338 to 795 of the family's 1533-position model. The record is from RNAcentral.
CCUACGGGAGGCUGCAGUGAGGAAUAUUGGUCAAUGGCCGAGAGACUGAACCAGCCAAGUCGCGUGAGGGAGGACGGCACUACGGGUUGUAAACCUCUUUUGUCGGGGAGCAAAGAGAGGCACGUGUGACUCAUUGAGAGUACCCGAAGAAAAAGCAUCGGCUAACUCCGUGCCAGCAGCCGCGGUAAUACGGAGGAUGCGAGCGUUAUCCGGAUUUAUUGGGUUUAAAGGGUGCGCAGGCGGAGGUGCAAGUCAGCGGUCAAAUUGCGGGGCUCAACCCCGUACUGCCGUUGAAACUGCAUGCCUUGAGUGGGCGAGAAGUAUGCGGAAUGCGUGGUGUAGCGGUGAAAUGCAUAGAUAUCACGCAGAACUCCGAUUGCGAAGGCAGCAUACCGGCGCGCAACUGACGCUCAGGCACGAAAGCGUGGGUAUCGAACAGGAUUAGAUACCCCUGUAGUC